This 102-nucleotide small nuclear RNA is filed under the name Nannospalax galili (Upper Galilee mountains blind mole rat). Lineage: Eukaryota; Metazoa; Chordata; Mammalia; Rodentia; Spalacidae. The record is from RNAcentral.
GAGCCCAAGGUUUCACCCAUGCUGGGCAAGUGACAGAGAAGAUUAGCACAACCCCUGCACAAGGGUGACACAAUGCCAAUUUGUGAAGCAUUUCAUAUUUUU